GAGGGUAUAGCUUAGAGGUAGAGAGCUUGCCUAGCAAGCACAAGGUCCUGGGUUCAAGCCCCAGAACCUCCA
RNAcentral lists this transfer RNA (72 nucleotides) under Camelus bactrianus (Bactrian camel). It matches the Rfam family "tRNA". From Rfam's summary of the family: Transfer RNA (tRNA) molecules are approximately 80 nucleotides in length. Their secondary structure includes four short double-helical elements and three loops (D, anti-codon, and T loops). Further hydrogen bonds mediate the characteristic L-shaped molecular structure. tRNAs have two regions of fundamental functional importance: the anti-codon, which is responsible for specific mRNA codon recognition, and the 3' end, to which the tRNAs corresponding amino acid is attached (by aminoacyl-tRNA synthetases). tRNAs cope with the degeneracy of the genetic code in two manners: having more than one tRNA (with a specific anti-codon) for a particular amino acid; and 'wobble' base-pairing, i.e. permitting non-standard base-pairing at the 3rd anti-codon position. RNAcentral also lists the same sequence under 1 other name. Lineage: Eukaryota; Metazoa; Chordata; Mammalia; Artiodactyla; Camelidae. The record is from Rfam by way of RNAcentral.